GGGAGGUUACGGAUAUUGGGUGUAAGGGAGCGCAGGCGGUUACUUAAGUCAGAUGUGAAAUCCCCGGGCUCAACCUGGGAACUGCCUUCGGAACUGGGUGACUAGAGUGUGUCUGAGGGAGGUAGAAUUCCACGUGUAGCAGUGAAAUGCUUAAAGAUGUGGAGGAAUACCGAUGGCGAAGGCAGCCUCCUGGGAUAACACUGACGUUCAUGCUCGAAAGCGUGGGUAGCAAACAGGAUUAGAUACCCUGGUAGUCCACGCCCUAAACGAUGAUAAUUGGCUGUUGGGCAACUUGAUUGCUUUGUAGCGUAAAUGACUUGUGUAAUUCACCUGGGGGGGAGUACGGUCACAGGAAAAAUACUCGAAAGUUAUUGACG
RNAcentral lists this ribosomal RNA (377 nucleotides) under uncultured bacterium. RNAcentral describes it as "bacterial SSU rRNA". It matches the Rfam family "Bacterial small subunit ribosomal RNA", at positions 537 to 915 of the family's 1533-position model. The record is from RNAcentral.